CGAGCGGACAGAUGGGAGCUUGCUCCCUGAUGUUAGCGGCGGACGGGUGAGUAACACGUGGGUAACCUGCCUGUAAGACUGGGAUAACUCCGGGAAACCGGGGCUAAUACCGGAUGGUUGUUUGAACCGCAUGGUUCAAACAUAAAAGGUGGCUUCGGCUACCACUUACAGAUGGACCCGCGGCGCAUUAGCUAGUUGGUGAGGUAAUGGCUCACCAAGGCAACGAUGCGUAGCCGACCUGAGAGGGUGAUCGGCCACACUGGGACUGAGACACGGCCCAGACUCCUACGGGAGGCAGCAGUAGGGAAUCUUCCGCAAUGGACGAAAGUCUGACGGAGCAACGCCGCGUGAGUGAUGAAGGUUUUCGGAUCGUAAAGCUCUGUUGUUAGGGAAGAACAAGUACCGUUCGAAUAGGGCGGUACCUUGACGGUACCUAACCAGAAAGCCACGGCUAACUACGUGCCAGCAGCCGCGGUAAUACGUAGGUGGCAAGCGUUGUCCGGAAUUAUUGGGCGUAAAGGGCUCGCAGGCGGUUUCUUAAGUCUGAUGUGAAAGCCCCCGGCUCAACCGGGGAGGGUCAUUGGAAACUGGGGAACUUGAGUGCAGAAGAGGAGAGUGGAAUUCCACGUGUAGCGGUGAAAUGCGUAGAGAUGUGGAGGAACACCAGUGGCGAAGGCGACUCUCUGGUCUGUAACUGACGCUGAGGAGCGAAAGCGUGGGGAGCGAACAGGAUUAGAUACCCUGGUAGUCCACGCCGUAAACGAUGAGUGCUAAGUGUUAGGGGGUUUCCGCCCCUUAGUGCUGCAGCUAACGCAUUAAGCACUCCGCCUGGGGAGUACGGUCGCAAGACUGAAACUCAAAGGAAUUGACGGGGGCCCGCACAAGCGGUGGAGCAUGUGGUUUAAU
RNAcentral lists this ribosomal RNA (906 nucleotides) under Bacillus sp. (in: firmicutes). RNAcentral describes it as "bacterial SSU rRNA". It matches the Rfam family "Bacterial small subunit ribosomal RNA", at positions 63 to 950 of the family's 1533-position model. The record is from RNAcentral. Lineage: Bacteria; Bacillati; Bacillota; Bacilli; Caryophanales; Bacillaceae.